Molecule: ribosomal RNA, 475 nt
Filed under: uncultured Lachnospiraceae bacterium
Lineage: Bacteria; Bacillati; Bacillota; Clostridia; Lachnospirales; Lachnospiraceae
Description: bacterial SSU rRNA
Rfam family: Bacterial small subunit ribosomal RNA
Source: RNAcentral
AACGGCUGGCGGCGUGCCUAAACACAUAGCAAAGGUCAACGGGGGACGAGACGGAAAACCUAGUGAAGGUCUGUCCGAGUGGCGGACGGGUGAGUAACGCGUGGAUAACCUGCCGCAUGCAGGGGGAUACCGGCUGGAAACAGCCGCUAAUACCGCAUAAGCGCACGGUGCCGCAUGGCAGAGUGCGAAAAGGAGAAAUCCGGCAAGCGAUGGAUCCGCGUCCGAUUAGCCAGUUGGCGGGGUAAGGGCCCACCAAAGCGACGAUCGGUAGCCGGCCUGAGAGGGCGGACGGCCACAUUGGGACUGAGACACGGCCCAGACUCCUACGGGAGGCAGCAGUGGGGGAUAUUGCACAAUGGGGGAAACCCCGAUGCAGCGACGCCGCGUGGGUGAAGAAGUAUUUCGGUAUGUAAAGCCCUAUCAGCAGGGAAGAAAGAAGACGGUACCUGACUAAGAAGCCCCGGCUAACUACGUG